UCUAACCAAUCACAGAGUGACUUCUUAGCAGCACCCUGCUUUCGGUCCUCCAUUGCAGUUUCUGGAGCAGCAGCCAGACGGGAUGGUAGCCAUCCUUCCUUCCCCGUAACGUGGAGAUGCUAAACAGAGGAACUGAGGGGGCCUUCAUCUACUAUCAUUGGUUAUGAGGAAAAACAAACACCACAAAUAUGAGGAGGCCGUUUAACAGAACCAGUCGUCAGAUUAUGUCACUUUUAAUCUUAUUAGAAGUGGAGUACAAGGCAGAAAGAAAAUGGUGUUCAAACUUGGCCACACAGUAGUAAGUGGUACUUGAAACAAGUCAGCCAUUCUUCUGUGGUUGCAGAUGGAAACGUCUGAACUGUACUUUUCUCUGAAAAUAAAUAAAUAAACAAAGUGAGC
This is a long non-coding RNA of Phasianus colchicus (ring-necked pheasant), 399 nucleotides long. RefSeq lists it as uncharacterized. The record is from RefSeq and is a predicted model, not a curated record. NCBI's taxonomy places the organism in Eukaryota, Metazoa, Chordata, Aves, Galliformes, Phasianidae.